GUGGCCUGAAAUAAGCAGUAAGUAUAAUUAGAAAUCCUAGGGCGUCUUUAAUGGUGUAGUAGGGAUGGAAUGGGAUUAGGUCAGGGUCUGAUGGAAUGCCUGUGGGGUUGUUGGAUCCGGUUUCGUGUAGGAAUAGGAGAUGUACUAUUACUAGGGCUGCUACUAGGAAUGGAAGUAGGAAGGGGGUUUAGUCAUUGUUGUAUUAGGAGAAAGUUUAAUGAGCCUGUGAUGUUUUGUACGUAUACUAAGGCAAUUAGUAGGGGGAGUGAUCCUACUAAUGUAUAGAAUAGGAAGUAAAGGCCCGCAUUUAGGCGUUCUGCUUGGUUUCCUCAUCGUGUGAUAAUGAUUAGGGUUGGGAGUAGGGUGGCUUCAAAUAGGAUGUAGAAUAUGAUAAGUUCUGUGGCGGUGAAAGUUAUAAUUAGGAAUGUUUGAAGUGAGAUUAAUAUAGUAAGAUAGAGUUUUUUUCGGGGUGGAGUUUCGUUAGAUAAGUGGAAUUGACUGGCGAUAAUUAUUAAGGGCAGUAGCCAUAUUGUUAGUAUGAGUAGUGGGGUGGAUAGGGCGUCAGAAAAGAAUAUUGUGGAUAGAUUGAGACUGUUGUCGGCGAAUUGGUUUAUAAGAGGAAGUCAUAGGAUGCUGAUUAUCAGACUGUGGAUUGUAGUAUUGAUUCAGAUUAUUUUUGGUUUGGAGAAUCAGGUAAGGGGAAUGAGCAUAAUGGUGGGUAUAAUAAUUUUUAACAUUUGAGGAGGUUAAGGUUUUGGACAUAGUCUAUUCCAUAAGUAGUAGAUACUAUAACUAAGAGGGAGAGGCCUAGUGCUGCCUCACAGGCUGCAAAUACUAGUAAGAUAAUAGGUAGUAUGGUUGCUAGUGUGAGAUGGGUAUUUAGAAUGAUGAUAGUCAUUAUUACAAAUAGGGAAAGUAUUAUUCCUUCUAGGCAUAGGAGGGAAGAUAUCAUGUGGGAUCGGUACAUUAGUAAACCUAAUAGGGAGAUUGUGAAUGCUAAAAGUAUAUUUAUGCAGCUGAUGGACAUUAGAUAACUAUGAGGUUUAUCAUAAUCUAGUGAGUCGAAAUCACUUGUUUUGUUUAAACUAAUUAUCAUUAUUCGGAUCAUUCUAGUCCUUCUUGUAGUCAUUCGUAUGCUAGGCUAGCAGCUAAGAGGGAGAUUAGAAUCAGGGCUAUAGGAAGUAUAGUUUGUAAGUUAUUAGUUUGGGAUGCUCAUGGUAGGGGUAGGAGAAGGGCAAUUUCUAGGUCAAAUAGCAGGAAUGUAAUUGCUACAAGGAAAAAUUUUAUUGAAAAGGGGAGACGGGCAGAGCCUAGGGGAUCGAAACCGCAUUCAUAGGGGCUUGUUUUUUCUGCGUAAGGGCUGGUUUGGGGGAGUCAGAAUGCAAUAAUUACGAGAAUUGAGGCUAGUGCUGUGUUUGUUAAGAGGGUGAUGGCUAUGUUGAUUACUCUUUUCCGGAUUGUGCCGGAACUAACUGAUUGGAAGUCAGUUGUACUGAUUAAUACUAAAAGGGUAAGAGCCUCAUCAAUAGAUAGAUACGUAUAGGAAAAGUCAGACGACGUCUACAAAGUGUCAGUAUCAGGCGGCAGCCUCAAAUCCAAAGUGGUGGUUAGAUGUGAAGUGGAAUUUUAGUUGUCGUAGGAGACAUACGAUUAGGAAGGUAGAUCCGAUAAUAACA
Long non-coding RNA from Phyllostomus discolor (pale spear-nosed bat), 1676 nucleotides. RefSeq lists it as uncharacterized. The transcript is spliced from 2 exons. The record is from RefSeq and is a predicted model, not a curated record. NCBI's taxonomy places the organism in Eukaryota, Metazoa, Chordata, Mammalia, Chiroptera, Phyllostomidae.